This 714-nucleotide unclassified non-coding RNA is filed under the name Hevea brasiliensis (rubber tree). The record is from RNAcentral. Lineage: Eukaryota; Viridiplantae; Streptophyta; Magnoliopsida; Malpighiales; Euphorbiaceae.
AGGUCUUGUUUUGAUGUGUGAUGACAAUCAAGAUGCUGAUGUGGUUCCUGUGUAGAUAUCUGGUGUAUCACCACAGUUAGGGUUUUGUCUUGAGCUGGAUUUCACAAAGUAAAUAGUGGAAGGGUGGUGAGCAAUGGAUUCAUGAGGCAUCGCUGAACCACAUUCCCUUUUUUUCCAGGUAUUAAAAGUGCAUAUAAAGUGUCCUUGAAGUUCCAGAGCCACUAGACUGAAGAUAUGUAUAAAUGAAGCAUAUUCUAGUGAAAAAGCUUUAAAUAUGCUUUGGAGAUUGUGACGAGUUCACUGCGAAAGAAGCUGGACAAUGUUGUAUCACAAUGGCACUAGGCACUAGGCACUUUGGCUGAUUUUUGUACAUAAGUUGGCAGAGCUGCCCAAAGGGGUUCGGAAAUGGUUGAUUACUUCAAAUGAACUUGAUGUUAGUAUGGUAAGUAAAAUUGUCUGUAUUUAGCGGUAACUUUUGAAGAAUACGUGUCUUUCUUAAUUCUAAUACUUGUCUUUCUUAAUUCUAUUACGUGUAUGCAAUUAUCUCGCUGUGCUUCUUGCAUUAAUUGGCAUGUAUGUUAAAUUGAAGGCAUUAUGCAUGACAAUGUACCCAUCAUUAUUUUUUGACUAUUUAUGUUUUUAGCUUGAAAAUGUUGGGCAACAUUUAUGUAUAUAUAUAAAGAUUGAAAAGGUUAUUUUAUUUUUCAAGAGAAG